AUUUUAUGUGGUGCUGAGGAUCGAACCCAGCGCCCCCGAGCAUGCCAGGUGAGCGCGUUACCGCUUGAGCCACAUCUCCAGCCCUAAACUGCUCCAUUUUUAUUAGAUCUGAAGAUAUUCCCUGUUCCUGGAGCGCUUGCCACAGCUUGAUUGCUGGUGCUGCCCAGGGGACUGGCUGCAACCAGAAGAGCACAGCUUGAGGACCCCAUGAGGUUGCCAUAGAUACUGAUACGCAGGGAUCUGGUGGAUGACAGAAACUCAAGGCUUACUGGCAUCUCCAUGUUCACAUUCUCAUUGCCCUGCCCACGCUGGGACUUGGGACCUGGCUCUCACCCUGGUGCUUUGAGCCACCAAAGACACAAAGCCUGUGCAAAUCAUUCCCCUUUCUUCCCUUUCAUUGCUGGCCUGAGAGUGCCACUUGCAUCCUUUGCCUCUGGCCUGAUCUCCCUGAUGAAACCACUCCUGAAGGGUCCCCCACCCCCAAUGAUGGCAAUGAUACUUGCACAAGGCUAGACUGUCAGCUCCCUGAGGGAAGACUGCCGGCAGCUUCUUCUAUACAGAUUGUGGAUGUCUCCAGAGUGUGCAGUUUGAUACAGUCUUCUUGACCUUGGUCGUCUCUCCACUUGAGCCCUUGCAAGGUCCGGGACUAGCUCACAGACCGCGAACCUUUCAGCUCUGUCUGCCAGCGCUGGUGGUCCGGAGCUGGGACCCCCCCACAAACAUUUCUCUGACGCUCCUGGCCCAGCCCCGGCCGCUCCCGGUUCGGGCGGGGCCGGUGACGGGAGGCUCCUCCCCGGGGGCGGUCCGGGGGCCGGGCGGGGG
Ictidomys tridecemlineatus (thirteen-lined ground squirrel) is the source of this 822-nucleotide long non-coding RNA. RefSeq lists it as uncharacterized. NCBI's taxonomy places the organism in Eukaryota, Metazoa, Chordata, Mammalia, Rodentia, Sciuridae. The record is from RefSeq and is a predicted model, not a curated record.